GGUCUUCUCUGUGUUUCGGAUGAGUGAGUAGUUCUAUGCAAACUUUUGUAAAAAUGCCUGUGAAAGGCCGAAGGAACCAAACACCAUGGUAUUUUUUUUUUAAUCCCAAACAGGAAAAUGGAAAGGGAUGACAGAGCAGCCAUUUUCUCUUCCCCUCUUUUAUAUGUGUUUGUGUGUUUCAACACAAAAUGUUUCAGAUGUUUUACUUGAAGCUGACAUGAAACACGAAAAGUGCCCAUCUGAAAGUCAAAGCUCUUUCCAGUGCUUUCAUUUCAGAUCAAGGACACAAAACCAACAACAGCAAAGUCUUUACAAAGGUGGAAUGUGUAUUCCUUAUCUACACAGACUGCGUCAACUCAGAAUAAAAUGCCACGGCCUUUGCCCAGAAGCUGAGAUCUUAGCAACAGAAAUGUAAAUAAUGCAGCAUUGUGCACAGAACGUGGUAACCUGCACCCAUGCAACAUGCUUACUAGAAUCAUUGCAAGAUUCUCCUAACUGUGCAGACUGAGAAGACACCUGGAACGCACUCUGUCUCCCUGCCGACCAUACAUGUGGAUUUCCUUUCUGUGGAAAUCAGACUGAGGGUAAAGGAAAACUGGGAAGAGAAGGAGAGGAAACAGGAGAGAAGAGAAGAUGAUACAUACUUGGUCUCUUCCCAACAGGGAGUAGGAUUACGGCUGAGAAGGACUCUCAGGUCUCAAUGUUUAUACAAAGUCUAUAUAAAUCAGACCCCCUUUAUCAAUGUUUGUUGACAUUUUCAAAACACUCUAACAGAUUUGCAAUUUCCAGCUCUUCCCAUUAUACAGUCAUGAGCCAUGACUACAGACCGGCCAGUCUGUAGUUUCGAGAUUCUCCCUGAAGUCUUUCCUAAAAAUUGGUGUUCUAUAUGCCGCUUCCAUGCCUCCAGUACUGAGUUCACAGCAAACCAUAAAUUACAAAGCACAGUUAAUAGGCUGGCAAUUUUAUACCAAGCUCCUGUAGAACUCCUGCGUGAACAGCAUAUUGUCCUGGCGGUUAUUUACUGUAAAAUUUCCUGAUUGGCUCUAAAAUCUGUUAUACGGCUAUUUCACUUUGGGAAUGUUUUUCUGACUGUGCCCCUAAAAAAGGUUUUGUUGUGGCAAUCACCUCAAACCCUGCCAUAAUGAACAGUGGUAGAAAAAACCUACUUAGCCUUUCUCCUGUGGUUUCUUUGAAUGCUCCUGUUAUAUCCCCGUCGCCUGCUAGUUCCUCAUGUUCUCUGGCAGAUCUCCUGUUCUUGAUGUAUUUGGAAAAAUUUUUAUGCUUCAAAAUCUUUUUUGGCCUGCUUUAUUAUGAUUUUAUAUUUAAAUUGCCAGGGUUUAUGCUAUUCCUCUUUUGGACUGAAGAAGAAAAUAACAAUAUUCCACAAAUGAAUGCACAGAUGGCAUUCACAAAAGGCUCAGGUAUUUGCAAUAGGUAUCUAAAAAUGGAACCUUGUGGUACUUGGGUGCAUGUUAAAAGCAAAGGAGUUUGCUGAGGGCUGGAUGGAGACAGAGGAGCUUAGGAAACUGUGGUCCAGGGACAGUAACUACUACUGCCUUCAUCAGCCUUCAUUCUCAGUCAGUGUCUUCCUAGAGGGUUAUCCUUUAAAUAUUUUUAAGAGAAAUACAGAGAGCCUCUGAACUGCCUAAUAGCUGUAGCAAUGCUAUUAACACAAAUUAUUAUUCCAGAGUAUUCUAACAACUAACAUUGCGGAUCCCUGUUGCACCAGAUAUUACACAAACAUAAAAUGAAAGCUAGUCCCUGAUGCAAAAAGCUAAAUGAUGCUGUCCCCAUAGCUUACAUAGUUUAGCAGACUGUUGAACAAACAGUCUCAGCAUUUCUGUCAAUAGUAUGUUUUAACAGCGAUCCCAAAGCCGUGCUCAAGCACAAACUUGCCUGCCUUUCACAUUGAUCGACAGCACGCUCCAUGUGGGAUUUGGCUAAUCUCAUUCUUAGUUUGUGCCUGUGUUCUGCAGUUUCAGAGAACAAGGAGUAUGUGCCUAAGCGUGUUGCUGGAUCAGGAUCCCACUUCAUAGAAAAUAUAUCUGAUAGUAAACACACAUUAUACUUGAUCUUAGUAUUAAAAUUAAGUGCCCUGUCUCCCGCCCCUUCCCCAGCUAGACUUCACCUAUGGCAACAGUUAUUCAUCUUGAAUUGCUUUAAUGCAGUGUUUAAGCAUGUCAUCUUGGCAACAAAGCAGCUUGCAUGGUAUUUCAGUGAGAGGUUUAAAAUCCCAUUCACAUUUUUAAUAUACGUUUCUCUCACAUAAAUUAUCACAGCUUGGUUGGCAGGCCCUGCAUGAGUAAUAAGGUUGCUGGCACAAACACACACCACAGAUCUAUUAAGGAGGAUCUUUGUACAUUCCUACAUUUAUACCAGAGCUGUGAGGGUAACUUCUACAAAAUGACUUGAGACACUUGUGUUUUACUAGCAGUACAUUAGCAGUCAUGAAAAUAACAUAUCCUCUAAAAAUGCAUCAGGGACAGUGCAGAUAAAUCCCUAUGCACCAGUUUGAAAAUUAAGCUCUUGAUAUGUGAAAUAUCUAUGCAGAAUGCAGAUUUAAUUGCUCAUAUAGGCAGGCAGACUGUACCAGAAAACUUGCUCUUACAUAAAAGAACCACACUACUGAAAGUGAGCUAAAUGCUGUUUUUACAUAUGAAAAGAAUGUGUUCUCUUUUUAGUAAAUAAUCACAUUUUAGUUUGCUUUCUCGUCUCACUUUAAUUCACAAUUUUGAGAAGUGAUCAUUCAGGUAACACUUAACUCGGGAAGUCUGGAAAAUCAGUUCUCUGCUGCUUAUGCUGCCCUCCACAUUAUAGCUCAGAGCAAUAGAUACAUGCAAAUACUUUGCAGUGCAGUUUUGCUCCAUGUUAUUUUGUAAGAUCAUGAGUUAGAUAACUUUGUCUCAAUAUCUACUUAGAAAAUAUUCAUAACUCUUGCAAUGUAGGCCUGAACUGAAGUACUUUGCACAAAGUGGGAAUCUUCUACUGGCUUUAUUUAGGGCUUUGAAUCAAGCCCUCUGUAAACAAGGAAUAAUAGGAAUAAUAAUGUAUUGUAAGGAAACACCUUUGAAGUGUCUAGCCUUUAAUUUCUCUGUGUCCCCAAUUUUGUGUUAGAUUAGCAAGACAUAUCCUUUCAUAACAGCUUAAAGAGAUAUUUGCAAAAUAAAAGUUGUAUAGUUCUACAGUCACACUGAGUUUUGGAUUGUUUCUCUAUUACACUCUGUAUAAAAGAGUAUCUUAAUUAUUGUUAUUCUUAAGUUGAACAUAACAGUAUGUUUGGCAUAAUCCAGGCGCAAGUAAUGAAAAUAUAUGAAAAUGUGAGCAGCAAACUUUGAAGUUUAUGUGCAAAUGGAUUAAAACAUAUCUAUACAAUUUGUGAAUAAAUUCACCACGAUAUGAAAAACAGAAUUAUCAGGAAACCAAGACAACUCUGCAGAUGAGGAUCCCUUUAAUGCACAGAAGAACAAAUGUUGCCCCCUGCUUGAGAGGCUGACAGUAGUUCAGAAAUGCAGAAUUCACUUAUUGGUAGCCUCUAGACAGAACACAAAGAGUUUGUCAAUGUAACUACGGAAAUGCUCAAGAAGCAAAGAGCGGAAGCAACGGGGACACACUAAGGAAUGGCAUUAUUGAUGCUGUUAUUUUGAGGCCUUUAUGACAUCUGUCUAGGCACUUGUUCAAGAGAAACAUUUACAUUUCAAACUUUGUAAUUUUAAUUAUAGGUUUUAUUAAUAAAGUUUAAAUAACAGCAUUUUAUGAGUGUUUUCUAGUAAAAAUCAUUAAAAUUCUAUUAUUUAAAA
This is a long non-coding RNA of Dromaius novaehollandiae (emu), 3797 nucleotides long. RefSeq lists it as uncharacterized. The record is from RefSeq and is a predicted model, not a curated record. Lineage: Eukaryota; Metazoa; Chordata; Aves; Casuariiformes; Dromaiidae. The transcript is spliced from 2 exons.